UGGGGAAUAUUGCACAAUGGAGGGAACUCUGAUGCAGCGACGCCGCGUGAACGAAGAAGGCUUUCGAGUCGUAAAGUUCUUUUAUAUGGGAAGAUAAUGACGGUACCAUAAGAAAAAGCCCCGGCUAACUACGUGCCAGCAGCCGCGGUAAUACGUAGGGGGCUAGCGUUGUCCGGAAUCACUGGGCGUAAAGGGUUCGCAGGCGGAAAUGCAAGUCAGGUGUAAAAGGCAGUAGCUUAACUACUGUAAGCAUUUGAAACUGCAUAUCUUGAGAAGAGUAGAGGUAAGUGGAAUUUUUAGUGUAGCGGUGAAAUGCGUAGAUAUUAAACAGAAUACCGGUGGCGAAGGCGACUUACUGGGCUCAUUCUGACGCUGAGGAACGAAAGCGUGGGUAGCAAACAGG
RNAcentral lists this ribosomal RNA (403 nucleotides) under bacterium. Its description in RNAcentral is "partial 16S ribosomal RNA". It matches the Rfam family "Bacterial small subunit ribosomal RNA", at positions 355 to 776 of the family's 1533-position model. The record is from RNAcentral.